CCAGACUCCUACGGGAGGCAGCAGUGGGGAAUAUUGCACAAUGGGGGAAACCCUGAUGCAGCGACGCCGCGUGAAGGAAGAAGUAUUUCGGUAUGUAAACUUCUAUCAGCAGGGAAGAAAAUGACGGUACCUGACUAAGAAGCCCCGGCUAACUACGUGCCAGCAGCCGCGGUAAUACGUAGGGGGCAAGCGUUAUCCGGAUUUACUGGGUGUAAAGGGAGCGUAGGCGGCGAUGCAAGUCAGAAGUGAAAGCCCGGGGCUCAACUCCGGGACUGCUUUUGAAACUGUGCAGCUAGAGUGCAGGAGAGGCAGGCGGAAUUCCUAGUGUAGCGGUGAAAUGCGUAGAUAUUAGGAGGAACACCGGUGGCGAAGGCGGCCUGCUGGACUGUAACUGACGUUGAGGCUCGAAAGCGUGGGGAGCAAACAGGAUUAGAUACCCUCGUACA
RNAcentral lists this ribosomal RNA (446 nucleotides) under uncultured bacterium. RNAcentral describes it as "bacterial SSU rRNA". It matches the Rfam family "Bacterial small subunit ribosomal RNA", at positions 331 to 794 of the family's 1533-position model. The record is from RNAcentral.